Molecule: ribosomal RNA, 497 nt
Filed under: uncultured bacterium
Lineage: Bacteria
Description: partial 16S ribosomal RNA
Rfam family: Bacterial small subunit ribosomal RNA
Source: RNAcentral
GAUGAACGCUGGCGGCGUGCCUAAUACAUGCAAGUCGAGCGAACAGAUGAGGAGCUUGCUCCUCUGACGUUAGCGGCGGACGGGUGAGUAACACGUGGAUAACCUACCUAUAAGACUGGGAUAACUUCGGGAAACCGGAGCUAAUACCGAAUAAUAUAUUGAACCGCAUGGUUCAAUAGUGAAAGACGGUUUUGCUGUCACUUAUAGAUGGAUCCGCGCCGCAUUAGCUAGUUGGUAAGGUAACGGCUUACCAAGGCAACGAUGCGUAGCCGACCUGAGAGGGUGAUCGGCCACACUGGAACUGAGACACGGUCCAGACUCCUACGGGAGGCAGCAGUAGGGAAUCUUCCGCAAUGGGCGAAAGCCUGACGGAGCAACGCGGCGUGAGUGAUGAAGGUCUUCGGAUCGUAAAACUCUGUUAUUAGGGAAGAACAAAUGUGUAAGUAACUAUGCACGUCUUGACGGUACCUAAUCAGAAAGCCACGGCUAACUACGUG